AACGAUCUACAAUUCGUUUAAUGUAUUCCGAUCAAGAAUCGGAUAAGUAUUGGCAAAGUUACAGCCUUCGCGGUGGGCCAUAUUGUCCUUUUCAUACAUUAUCCACAUUUUGAAGGGGAUGCCCCAGAAAAUUUGAUCAAAAAUCUAAAAAAUAUUUAGUGCGUAGAUUUUGGUAGAAACGAUCUACAAAUCGUUUAAGGUAUACUGUUCAAGAAUCGGAUAAAUAUUGGCAAAGAUACAACCUUCGCUGGGAGACCUUUUCGAUUUCAAUGCAUAUUCCACAUAUUGAUGGACACCAAUACAAAUUUGAGAAAAAAUAUAAAAAAUAUUUUGUUCUUAUCUUAUCAUCUUACACCACAUAAUUUCAAAAUUCGUAUUCAUGUUGUCCAAAACAUAUUCUUAUGUAGCAUUCGAGUGAUUUUCAUUGUAAAGUUCCACUUUUGCAAAAAUUAAUCCUCUGCUGAGCAGCAAGGCUUUCAUGGCUCCUACCAUGGGAUUACAAUUACUUUAAAGUUGUGUUCCUCGUUAGAUAUGCUAUUGUUUAAUAUGCUGCCACCAUAUCUGUGUAAUUAAAAACUAUUUGCACACAAAGUUUAUAAAAGCAAAAACCAGAAACAACUAACAACAACUAGCACAACAAACAAACUGGAAGAACAACAACGACCACACGAGAGCUACAAUAGUUUUGUUGUGCGCCAUGGCCAGAGCCUGCGGCGGCUGCCCCGGUCACACCUCCCUUCCGGCACUCGUCAAACAUUUGGGCAAAUGCUAUAAUUGAAAUCAUUUAAAGUCUUGAAUUAUUACUUUGUUAAUGCUAUUGUUUGCUGUCGCAUUGGCAGCGCAAUAAAUUUAAAAUUUCUACUCAAA
Molecule: long non-coding RNA, 867 nt
Organism: Drosophila ananassae
Lineage: Eukaryota; Metazoa; Arthropoda; Insecta; Diptera; Drosophilidae
Exons: 2
Source: RefSeq, a predicted model, not a curated record